Molecule: ribosomal RNA, 301 nt
Filed under: uncultured bacterium
Lineage: Bacteria
Description: partial 16S ribosomal RNA
Rfam family: Bacterial small subunit ribosomal RNA
Source: RNAcentral
CAGCCGCCACGGGAAUACGAAGGGUGCAAGCGUUACUCGGAAUUACUGGGCGUAAAGCGUGCGUAGGUGGUGGUUUAAGUCCGUUGUGAAAGCCCUGGGCUCAACCUGGGAAUUGCAGUGGAUACUGGGUCACUAGAGUGUGGUAGAGGAUAGUGGAAUUUCCGGUGUAGCAGUGAAAUGCGUAGAGAUCGGAAGGAACAUCUGUGGCGAAGGCGACUAUCUGGGCCAACACUGACACUGAGGCACGAAAGCGUGGGGAGCAAACAGGAUUAGAUACCCCUGUAGUCCCUGUCUCUUAUAA